Molecule: long non-coding RNA, 239 nt
Filed under: Durio zibethinus
Lineage: Eukaryota; Viridiplantae; Streptophyta; Magnoliopsida; Malvales; Malvaceae
Description: long non-coding RNA (DZIB_LNC000071)
Source: RNAcentral
AACUUCCUCUUUUCACUUUAGGAAAUUGAUCCUCUUUUGAAACUACCAUAUUCAUUCAUCCUUCUUGCCUCUCCCCCACGUAGUUUACUUCUUAUCACUUACAAUCAUCAAUUCUCUCAUCAAUUUCACAUAAACCUGCCUAUCUCCAUUAUCCCAUCAUUCUCAUGGCUUCCAAGACUAAAGUAACUGUUGAAAAAGUGAGGAAUCCCUCAAGGGAGGCUUCUAGCUCAUCAAUGACG